This 87-nucleotide transfer RNA is filed under the name Pseudomonas putida. Its description in RNAcentral is "tRNA-Asn". Lineage: Bacteria; Pseudomonadati; Pseudomonadota; Gammaproteobacteria; Pseudomonadales; Pseudomonadaceae. The record is from RNAcentral.
CAGCCCCGAGGUGCGGGACGACCGCGCGGUAUUGCUGCGCCAGGCGGCGGUCGCCUAUGACCGGGCGUUCAACCCGGACGGGGCCAA